Molecule: ribosomal RNA, 458 nt
Filed under: uncultured Geobacter sp.
Lineage: Bacteria; Pseudomonadati; Thermodesulfobacteriota; Desulfuromonadia; Geobacterales; Geobacteraceae
Description: bacterial SSU rRNA
Rfam family: Bacterial small subunit ribosomal RNA
Source: RNAcentral
CGGGGGGCAGCAGUGGGGAAUUUUGCGCAAUGGGCGAAAGCCUGACGCAGCAACGCCGCGUGAGUGAUGAAGGCUUUCGGGUCGUAAAGCUCUGUCGAUGGGAAAGAAGUGUAUUGUGGCUAAUAUCCACGAUACUUGACGGUACCCAUAAAGGAAGCACCGGCUAACUCCGUGCCAGCAGCCGCGGUAAUACGGGGGGUGCAAGCGUUGUUCGGAAUUAUUGGGCGUAAAGAGCGUGUAGGCGGUUUGUUAAGUCUGUUGUGAAAGCCCUGGGCUCAACCCAGGAAGUGCACUGGAUACUGGCAGACUUGAAUACGGGAGAGGGUAGUGGAAUUCCUAGUGUAGGAGUGAAAUCCGUAGAUAUUAGGAGGAACACCGGUGGCGAAGGCGGCUACCUGGACCGAUAUUGACGCUGAGACGCGAAAGCGUGGGUAGCAAACAGGAUUAGAUACCCCAGU